This 1620-nucleotide long non-coding RNA is filed under the name Paramuricea clavata. Lineage: Eukaryota; Metazoa; Cnidaria; Anthozoa; Malacalcyonacea; Plexauridae. The record is from RNAcentral.
ACCAUUAUUUAUAAACAUUUAAUUCGUUUAGGAGAUGAUGAUGAUACACCACUUAUUCAAGGUUUCUCUGAUGACGAUCCAUUAGUUGAAGCUUAACAACGUAAUGUAUUACGUUAUAUCUAAUGUUUCUUGAUGAAUUGAGUAAUAAUGUUUUUCAUUUACAUUAUAUUUCGUAUCUACUGUAAUAAUAGUGUAGAAUUUGAUUUAACUUAACUUUUGUGUAGCGUAUGCAGUUUGCUGUUUGAAAAAAUGGCUUCGAUAACCUGUUCACUAUUAAGUUCAGUCAAGGAUCUCUUGAGACACAUACAGUCGCAGAUCAUGGUCCGUACAGAAACAUUUUUCCAGUUGCAAUUCAAACCAGAAAUAUUUUCCAGUUAUAAUUCAAGCCUGAAAAGUUUUCCAGUUCAAGUGUAUUCCUAAUAUCCAUAAAUACAUAAUCUCAUUGUCCUGAAUCCUGAACAUUUACCUUACAGUGACAAUUAAGAUAGAGAAACGUGGAAUUUUUACAUGUAAUUUGUGGGAAAAGCGUAAGACGCAGUAUUGAAGAACGUGGCCCGUCUAUAGCACUAGAUUGAAUAAUAAUUCUUCAACAUAUUUAAUUCUUUAAAUUCUCUGCCUCAAUAGUCUAAAAUAGUCACAAUAGGUGUGAAGUAUUUCCUGCUUAAGAUUCUGAACGAACGAAUGAAGGACGAAGUCACACCCAGGACAUGCAGUCCUGCAAACUUUGCAAGGGCACCGCAAUAAACGUGUAUGUAACUCACUCUAAAGAUGCUUUGUUGCACACAAUAAGGGCGGAAUGAGUGGUGAAAAUUUCCAUUGUACGUACGCACUUUGAGGUGUAGGUUUGACUUGAAGAGUGAGUAUCGUGCCAGUGAUCCUUUGCACGCUUGUGUUUACAUUUUAUGUUUACAUUCGGCUGCAUCUGAUGUGAUGAAUAUACUUUCAUUACGAACAUUUUGCGUACAAAAAACGCAACAUUUCACAAGAUAUAACGACUUACUUCGUUUAAAAGAAGAAAUAGAGUAUAUGGGCCAAUACAAAUUAAAUCCUGGAGAUCACUUAUAAAUAUCUCAAGAGUCAGCCAUUUUCUGGGACUCCAAGCGCCCAAAGGAUCACUGGCAUAAUAUUUAUACUCACUCUUUAAAAAUUCAGGAUUCGAAGAACAGUACAUGCAUGUCUUGCAGGACUAAAAAUCAGUUCAGGUAAAUUCCAUGUUUAAAAAUGGCAAAGCAACGUACGGACAAUGGUCGGCGACAGAUAAUUGGGAUAUGGAAAUUUUAAACAUUUCGCUCAAGAAUCCGUUGGGCAAUGUUUUCGUAGAUACCCUAUAAAAAGACAAUGAUGUUCUAAAUUUUGAAAGUAGAUUCCUGAGCAUAAUCAAGUGGCCAAUGUAAUUAUAUUGUCGAGGAUCCUAUUAAUAACCAGUAAUGAUACUUAAUAAUGAACUGAUUUUAAAUGUUAGAUUAGUGUGUAGAAAUUGUAGUGAAAUAUACCUCUAGUUUCAUAGUUUGUAUUGUAGAAGGUUUUUAAUUGCACAACUGCUUGUAAUUUAUGACAGAUUAAUAAAAUAAAUAGAACUCAUUUUGUUGUGAUUGACUUUAGACUUGCUCCAAGUUCCUA